Molecule: long non-coding RNA, 924 nt
Organism: Eriocheir sinensis (Chinese mitten crab)
Lineage: Eukaryota; Metazoa; Arthropoda; Malacostraca; Decapoda; Varunidae
Exons: 3
Source: RefSeq, a predicted model, not a curated record
UAGCGUAUCCCCAAAUGACUCUCACGUCCUUAGCUUCGUACACUUUCAAUCGGUGAGGGAACCCAAGAAAAGUAAAUCUAGUAUUCUUAAAAGUAUCGGCACAUCAGUUCACCAAGUCUCUCGUAGAAGUUGCUGUGAUUUUCAAGGACUGUUUUGUGAUCCUGGUGAUAGUUUCAAACGACUCCUGCAACACCAACGGGAGAACCACCCAUCAAAACCCGGUUAAUCUUCUCUGUGGCCUUGGAAAACACUCGUAAUAGGAGCCAGACACGUUUGAAAAUAUGGGCCUUUAAUUAACCCGUCUGCUGCGAUUGGAACGGAUUCGGAUUUCACUGGUAGCCUGGUAAUAUAUAGUCCCAGGUCUUUCUCUGUCUCUGUGGUGGAUAGUGGAGUGUUUCCCAUGUGGUAUUGGUAUGCUGGAUAUCCCUUCACUGGUAGCCUGGUAAAAUACAGUUCCAGGUCUUUCUCUGUCUCUGUGGUGGAUAGUGGAGUGUUUCCCAUGUGGUAUUGGUAUGCUGGAUAUCCCUUCACUGGUAGCCUGGUAAUAUAUAGUCCCAGGUCUUUCUCUGUCUCUGUGGUGGAUAGUGGAGUGUUUCCCAUGUGGUAUUGGUAUGCUGGAUAUCCCUUCACUGGUAGCCUGGUAAUAUAUAGUCCCAGGUCUUUCUCUGUCUCUGUGGUGGAUAGUGGAGUGUUUCCCAUGUGGUAUUGGUAUGCUGGAUAUCCCUUCACUGGUAGCCUGGUAAUAUAUAGUCCCAGGUCUUUCUCUGUCUCUGUGGUGGAUAGUGGAGUGUUUCCCAUGUGGUAUUGGUAUGCUGGAUAUCCCUUCACUGGUAGCCUGGUAAUAUAUAGUCCCAGGUCUUUCUCUGUCUCUGUGGUGGAUAGUGGAGUGUUUCCCAUGUGGUACUGGUAUGCUGGAUAUCCCUU